Molecule: long non-coding RNA, 1243 nt
Organism: Peromyscus leucopus (white-footed mouse)
Lineage: Eukaryota; Metazoa; Chordata; Mammalia; Rodentia; Cricetidae
Exons: 3
Source: RefSeq, a predicted model, not a curated record
ACGUAGGGUGGCCCGAGAACGCGCCUGCCAAUGGCGGGACGGCGAGAGACGGCGAGAGCCAACGGGAGCGGAGUGAGAGGUUCUCUGGCCAAUGGGCGGUCAGUGAGCGGAGACAGGGGCCAAUGGCGGCGCCGCGUCCCACCGCUGGGGAGAGAUGGUCAAGUGUGGGAGGCGAGUUGGUCCCUGCUUGGGAGGCUGUCGGGUUGCCUAGCAACCACAGCCAAGGCUUCACCUGGAAAAUGUUUGAAAUACUUGAUUUGAAUUCAAUCUUGACGUUUUCUAGCUUCCUGAGCAGCAAAGUGCGCCUCCAUCACAAGUUAUUGCACACUCCUUCACCCAGAUUUUCUGAAUUUAGACAGUCUCUGUGAAGUGCAAGAAGCCUCCGCCUCCACCAAGGAGAACAGCUUUUCAGUUUGUUUCUGGAAGCUCCUUAAGUUCCGCUGGAAGAGUGUCAACAAGCCGGCUGUUACCUCAGCCUGGAGAAAGCACACUGAUCAUUUAUAGAUCAGAAACACAGGACUUGUUUCCAGGCAGAAAAUGGAGGGGAAGAGUCUCGUUGGAAUGACAGAUAGGCCUAUGUCGGUGAUGUGGAAGGACUUGGGAAGACCAGUUGGUGUUUCCCAGAGCAGAGCAUCUAAACCAGGCUUGGUCAGUUUGGUUCAGCAGUGUAGGUGCGAUGCAAACACCCAGCUGACCCAAGUUGCUAUCGACUAUCUACGACUUUUCAACUCUCCAACAAUUACCAAUGACAUUUAUUAAAAUUCGAUAAAAUACUGGUAGAAUUUCAAUCGAGUAUACUUUAUUAGUCUUAGAGGGCUAUUUAAGGAUAGAUUUAGGGAGAGUCAUGGUUUCAGGGGGUUCAGCCCAUGACUGAUGGGCUCCAAGCACUUGAUGAGAACACCAUGUCUGUGGGAAUAUGUGCUGGGAGGGGUUCUUCCCAUUGUGAUGGACAGGACGCAGGACAUCCACCAGUGAUGGGAAGGAAGGGACGGGGGACAAAGUCAGACCCUAGUGACCCACUUCCUCCCACCCCACAAGGCUGGAUCCCCAGCAGGCCCCACCUUCUAGAGUUUAUCGACCCUCCCAGCAUAGUGUCACCAGCCGCUGAGCAGUCAUUUAAGUAAUAAGCCUGUGGGAGACAGGUUAUACUCAAACCCCAGGUCAGAGAUUUUCCAAAUGGUAAGAACCUGAAGUGCCUCUUAGAAGGAGGCACGUUACAGUAUGUGCCCUGGACGACCGCAGA